AUCCAGCUGAUGAGUCCUAGAUAGGACGAAACACGCGUCAAACUGGAU
Non-coding RNA from Schistosoma mansoni, 48 nucleotides. The record is from Rfam. NCBI's taxonomy places the organism in Eukaryota, Metazoa, Platyhelminthes, Trematoda, Strigeidida, Schistosomatidae.